UAUAUAUUCGGAUGUAAUAUAGAAGAAGAGAAAAGAAUAAUAAUGAAGUAAAUAAACUAGUACAUCCAAUUUCCUUCAUCAUUAUUUACCAAAUAUCCCUCAUUAGAAUUGUCAUAAUACCCAUAGUUGUAAUUAUACGCAUUUGGGUAGUAUUGAGGUUGUCCAUUUGCUGCUUGUACUGGAUCUGGGGGAGCAGGGCCUUGACUGAAGGCAUAAUCCCCAUCUCCUGCAUAUGAAGGAUCCAUUGUAUUUGGAGUAACUAUAUUUGAAAUUUGAGACUUAUAAAAUAUCCCAACAGCCAAAACAGCUAAAACAAUUAUAAUAUUAUAAAACCACCAAGGAAAUUCAAAUUGAUCACAAGUUUCUCCUCCGUAAAAUGGCGGGCAUGUACAAGCGAAGUUUGACUUUGGUAAUUCACUACAAAUACCGCCAUUUAAGCAUGGAGAAGGAUCACAAGACUUGGAGCAAACAGAAACAUUACAUUCUUGGACUUUGUUAAGAUCAUGAUCACAUUUUCCACCAUUUUGUUCUGGAACAACUAUGGAUCUUGUGGAAAUUUGACUUCCAACACCACAAGUUGUACUACAUUCGCUCCAAUCUGACCAUUCUGUUACAAUACAAUCACUAGCGCAAGAAACACCAUGGCAAGAUUUUAAUUGGAAUGUAUCAAUACAGCUUUCAAUAAAAUAUGCUGCACUUAAUAACUUUCUUGUUCUGGUUGUUGAUCCUGAUCCACAAGUAGCUGAGCACUCACCCCACAUUGUCCAUUCCGAAUAUUGGCAUGGUGAGCAUGAAAUAUCAGCAUUACAAGGACUUGAAUCAAGUAAUUUAGGACAUGGUAAACCACCAUUCAUACUUGGCAUAAUUACUGAACGGUAUCUAGCUUUUGAACCAGUUGAGCAAGUUUUUGAACAAGUUGACCAAUCUGUCCACUGUGAGAUUUGGCAAUCUUCUACUUUUGGAUAAAUUUGUGAUCCUGAUCCACUAGUUAUUUGAACUUUAGUUGGAACACUUGCAAUACAAUCAAUAAUAUCUAAUUUUGUUCUUCUAGUACCAUCAACAAAUACAUUAAAUCCAAACUUUCUUCUUACUAAUUGUACUUGAAUUAAAGAAUUUGCUGAGUGAGUAAAUUUGCUGUUAUCACUUCUAGAAUAACUACCACAACCUGUUUUAUAACUAUUACCAGUUACUUCAAAAUAAAAUCCUACCUCUCCUGAGCUAGUAUAUACUUGAAAUCUAAAUGUACCAUCAGAUUUUACUUGAGAAUGUACAAAAACUAUGUGAUUAUUUGGCCAUGAAAUUACUGGUGGAUCUGAUACUUUACUAAUUUCAUAAACAUCUGCAUAAUUCCCCAAAUAGUUAAAUGCAGAGUUUUCUGAUAUAAUAUUUUCUG
This 1393-nucleotide non-coding RNA is filed under the name Cryptosporidium parvum. Lineage: Eukaryota; Apicomplexa; Conoidasida; Eucoccidiorida; Cryptosporidiidae. The record is from RNAcentral.